GACGAACGCUGGCGGCGUGCUUAACACAUGCCAGUCGAACGGAAAGGCCCUGCUUUUGUGGGGUGCUCGAGUGGCGAACGGGUGAGUAACACGUGAGUAACCUGCCCUUGACUUUGGGAUAACUUCAGGAAACUGGGGCUAAUACCGGAUAGGAGCUCCUGCUGCAUGGUGGUGGUUGGAAAGUUUCGGCGGUUGGGGAUGGACUCGCGGCUUAUCAGCUUGUUGGUGGGGUAGUGGCUUACCAAGGCUUUGACGGGUCGCCGGCCUGAGAGGGUGACCGGCCACAUUGGGACUGAGAUACGGCCCAGACUCCUACGGGAGGCAGCAGUGGGGAAUAUUGCACAAUGGGCGGAAGCCUGAUGCAGCAACGCCGCGUGCGGGAUGACGGCCUUCGGGUUGUAAACCGCUUUCGCCUGUGACGAAGCGUGAGUGACGGUAAUGGGUAAAGAAGCACCGGCUAACUACGUG
RNAcentral lists this ribosomal RNA (468 nucleotides) under uncultured bacterium. Its description in RNAcentral is "partial 16S ribosomal RNA". It matches the Rfam family "Bacterial small subunit ribosomal RNA", at positions 28 to 507 of the family's 1533-position model. The record is from RNAcentral.